RNAcentral lists this ribosomal RNA (497 nucleotides) under uncultured bacterium. RNAcentral describes it as "partial 16S ribosomal RNA". It matches the Rfam family "Bacterial small subunit ribosomal RNA", at positions 28 to 507 of the family's 1533-position model. The record is from RNAcentral.
GAUGAACGCUGGCGGCGUGCCUAAUACAUGCAAGUCGAGCGAACAGACGAGGAGCUUGCUCCUCUGACGUUAGCGGCGGACGGGUGAGUAACACGUGGAUAACCUACCUAUAAGACUGGGAUAACUUCGGGAAACCGGAGCUAAUACCGGAUAAUAUAUUGAACCGCAUGGUUCAAUAGUGAAAGACGGUUUUGCUGUCACUUAUAGAUGGAUCCGCGCCGCAUUAGCUAGUUGGUAAGGUAACGGCUUACCAAGGCAACGAUGCGUAGCCGACCUGAGAGGGUGGUCGCCCACCCUGGAACUGAGACACGGUCCAGACUCCUACGGGAGGCAGCAGUAGGGAAUCUUCCGCAAUGGGCGAAAGCUUGACGGAGCAACGCCGCGUGAGUGAUGAAGGUCUUCGGAUCGUAAAGCUCUGUUAUUAGGGAAGAACAAAUGUGUAAGUAACUAUGCACGUCUUGACGGUACCUAAUCAGAAAGCCACGGCUAACUACGUG